CGUCUGCCUUAUGUUUGAAUUGCUUUCUAUUCUCGGCAGUUGUUUUAAAUUAAACUUUUAUUUUGUGUCUCCCCCCUCAGCAUCCUGUCCGAGACAAAGCUACCUUUCUUUCCUCGUGGGAAUGGACCGGCCGGGCUUUGGCAAUCUGUCCCCUCGAAAGACAAAGUGACCUCUUGCAGCAGGGGAAGACUGAAGCAAGGGGUGCCAGGAAGAACUGGAGUCCCUGGAGAAUAAAAGCUGGAAGUAUGGCCCCGAAAGUCCCCAGCCCCGGGUGGUCAGUGGUCUGACUUGCACGGAGCGGUGGCCUUGGCCAGGAGCGGUCCUGCGGGAAGCACCUUUGCCCAGGCUGUAAUUUUAAUUUCCACUGGGUGCUGGCAAAGCCCCCCUGGGGGUGAGCCCCAGUGCCUGGCAGGAGCGGAGCGGGCUUGCGGGGAGGUGUUCACCCGGUCAGCGUCAGGAACCAUCCUAACUGAGGCCUCGGCUGCCUCUUUCCCUUCGGUCGCCGUGUGUGUGCCGGACACCUCUGGCAGGACUAACCCUGUGGCUUUUAUGUCCAACGUGCUGUAUGCCUGCAGCAUCCUGUCCGAGACAAAGCUACCUUUCUUUCCUCGUGGGAAUGGACCGGCCGGGCUUUGGCAAUCUGUCCCCUCGAAAGACAAAGUGACCUCUUCCAACAGGGGAAGACUGAAGCAAGGGGUGCCAGGAAGAACUGGAGUCUCUGGAGAAUAAAAGCUGGAAGUAUGGCCCCGAAAGUCCCCAGCCCCGGGUGGUCAGUGGUCUGACUUGCACGGAGCGGUGGCCUUGGCCAGGAGCGGUCCUGCCGGCCUGUACUUUGAAUUUCCUGCCCAGGCUGUAAUUUUAAUUUCCACUGGGUGCUGGCAAAGCCCCCCUGGGGGUGAGCCCCAGUGCCCGGCAGGAGCGGAGCGGGCUUGCGGGGAGGUGUUCACCCGGUCAGCGUCAGGAACCAUCCUAACUGAGGCCUCGGCUGCCUCUUUCCCUUCGGUCGCCGUGUGUGUGCCGGACACCUCUGGCAGGACUAACCCUGUGGCUUUUAUGUCCAACGUGCUGUAUGCCUGCAGGGGAAGACUGAAGCAAGGGGUGCCAGGAAGAACUGGAGUCUCUGGAGAAUAAAAGCUGGAAGCGUGCCCCCGAAAGUCCCCAGCCCCGGGUGGUCAGUGGUCUGACUUGCACGGAGCGGUGGCCUUGGCCAGGAGCGGUCCUGCCGUCCUGUAAUUUGAAUUUCCUGCCCAGGCUGUAAUUUUAAUUUCCACUGGGUGCUGGCAAAGCCCCCCUGGGGGUGAGCCCCAGUGCCUGGCAGGAGCGGAGCGGGCUUGCGGGGAGGUGUUCACCCGGUCAGCGUCAGGAACCAUCCUAACUGAGGCCUCGGCUGCCUCUUUUCCUUCGGUCGCCGUGGACACUGUGCCGGACGCCUCUGGCAGGACUAACUACCGUGGCUUUUACGUCC
Long non-coding RNA from Pseudopipra pipra, 1465 nucleotides. RefSeq lists it as uncharacterized. The transcript has 6 exons. The record is from RefSeq and is a predicted model, not a curated record. NCBI's taxonomy places the organism in Eukaryota, Metazoa, Chordata, Aves, Passeriformes, Pipridae.